RNAcentral lists this ribosomal RNA (440 nucleotides) under uncultured bacterium. RNAcentral's name for it is "partial 16S ribosomal RNA". It matches the Rfam family "Bacterial small subunit ribosomal RNA", at positions 338 to 795 of the family's 1533-position model. The record is from RNAcentral.
CCUACGGACGGCAGCAGUAGGGAAUAUUGCUCAAUGGGGGAAACCCUGAAGCAGCAACGCCGCGUGGAUGAUGAAGGUCUUCGGAUUGUAAACUCCUUUUGUUAGAGAAGAUAGUUAUGGUGUUUAACUAUUAACCACUGGCUAACUCCGAGCCAGAAGCCGCGGUCAUACGGCGGGUGCAAGCGCUACUUGGAAUUACUGGGCGUAACGUGCGCGGAGGUGGGCUGGCAUGUCAGAUGUGAAAUCCUAUGGCUUAACCAUAGAACUGCAUUUGAAACUGGUAUUCUAGAGUAGGGGAGAGGUAGGUGGAAUUCUAGGUGUAGCGGUAAAAUGCGUAGAGAGCUAGAAGAAUACUGAUUGCGAAGGCGACCUGCUAGAACAUAACUGACGCUGAUGCGCGAAAGCGUGGGGAGCAAACAGGAUUAGAUACCCCUGUAGUC